AAAAAUGUAUAAAUUAAAAGAAAAACAUGUCGAAAAUAAAUUAUUGCAAAUUUGUUUUAACAGUAUAUAUGAUGCAGUACUACAUGCUGGGAAAACAGAAAAUGACAAUGACAAAGACAAAGACUUAUGGAGGAAUAAAGAAUGUAGCAAUCGGUUGAAUUCGUUUGGUGAUAAUUGUAGUAACGGUAGUGAUGAUAACAUAAGCAGUAAACUGUUAAGCAAAGUAAAUAAAAACAAUCUGGUCGUAAAUAGCGCCAUUUAUAACAAUAUUAAAAAAGGCAAAACACGAUCAUGGAAAAGAUGUUCAUGGCCUAGUAAAAACACAAAAGAAAAGUAUGAUGAUAAUACAUAUAAAAAUAAACAUAAUCAAUAUGAUACUGGUAAUUCAAACCAGUGCACACUGACACCACCAUGUUACCGUACUAAUUGUAUACAUAACUACCUGAAUGUGUUAAUAGAGAAUAAAAUUAGAAACAUUUUUUAUUUGUAUGAUUCUAAAUUAAAUUCAACCAUAAAAACGAAAAAUAUUUUAAAUUUUUUUGAUAUUAACAUAAUAAUUAAUAAUAAUAUAUCUUUUUAUCAAUAUCAAAUUUUUAAUUUAUUUUUUUAUUUAUAUACAAAUUCGUGUGCUAAUAAAGCACUUAAUUAUAUACAACCCAAAAUAUUAUGGGAUGUAGACUCUUUGAAUACUUCCGAAAUUAUACAUGAUAGCUCAACACAUAAUAAAACAAAAAAAAGUCUAGAUGAUUUAGAAGACCACAUGCAGCAUAAUAACAUGAUAAAAUAUUUGAAAACAAGUAAUGAACAUAUGACAAACAACGAAAUUUUUUUAAACGAUGUAAAAAAUAAAAAAGUUGCUCCUGUUUGAUUAUAAAAAUAAAAAAAAAAAAAAAAAAAAAAAAAAACAAGUUCGUAUAUCCCCUUCAUAUACAAAUAUUGAACAACAAUUAGAUACAAAUAUAGAUAACUUUAUAAAUAAGCUAUCAACAAGUUAUAAUCACAAUAAUGAUUGUAAUUAUAAUAAUAACGUAUCUGCCGAUGAAAGUAGUAAUAAAAUUUGUUAUAAUAAAUCAUUUCAUCUGCAUAAUAUAAAUGGGAAUUCUAUCAAUGGUGAUGAUAAUGCUAAUAAUAAAUAUGAACAAGACAUAAAAAAAAUAGAAAAAGACGUAAAAAAAAUAGAAAAAGACGUAAAAAAAAUAGAAAAAGACGUAAAAAAAAUAGAAAAGGAAGAAAAAAAAAAAAUGGACGAAAGUGGAAUGAUGAAAGAGGCACAAAAUGGGAAUUCAAAUGAGGCGCAGUGUAAUGGAACAAAUGUUGUACAAACAAAAAGAAAGCUGAAAAAUACAUUAGAUGAACAAUUUGGAAUAUUGAAUGUUGAUGAUAUAUAUGCGAGUGAGUCAGAUAAUAUAAGUGAUAAUAGAAGAGUAGGGACAAAAAAAAAAGUAAAAACUAAGGAUGAUAGCAAGACAAAAAUGUAUACACGUAUGGAUAAUGAAAAAGAUAGUACCUUUACUUUGUCAAGCGAUUUACAAACUAUAUAUGAUGCAUAUAAUAAUGGGGAAGAAAUAGUAAUUGCAAAAAAUAAAAAAAAAUUAUUUAAUAAUUUAGAAACUUAUAAAAAUUUUAGCGUACUGUUUAAGCAAACUAGCUAUGAUGGUGGGUAUGAUAAUAUUCAAACGAAUAUGGAAAGACAAAAUCGUUUGAAUAUGGAUAUUAACUAUGUAAAAAACGACAAUAUGCAGUAUAUGAAUCUGCAGAAUGUACAGCAUAUGGAUAUACAACAAAAUGGCUUCUUGAACCAACACGUGGGACAAUACGCAAAUACCAUUAAUUAUAUUUGUACAGCCAAUGAUACGAAUAAAUACCCUUUUACAUAUCUUUCUUAUAAUAAUAAUGGUAACAAUAAUAAUAAUGAUGAUAUGUCAAAUUGUAAUAAUAUUGGUUUGAUUCAAGACCAAGACUUAAUUUGUAAUAAUAAUUAUGAAAAUAAUAAUGUAUCUUGUAGUGAAACUGUACCGAAAUGGGAGUUAUUAAAUGGGAACUUUAAUUUGAAUAAUAACUACUAUGGUAUUUAUAAUACUGGUUUGGGUAACAUAAAUUAUGUAGCUGAUUAUAAUAAUAAUAAUAAUUUGAUUUUUUAUAACCCUAAUAUGUAUAUAAAAGAUGAAAAUGUAAAAAAUGCAUGUUCUGAUAAUUUAUUUGAUGGUAAAUAUGAUAAUAAUAUAAGUGCCAUUAGUGUGGAUAGUACAAGGGGUAUAUAUGAAGGAAGCGGUUUUAGUGAUUCUAUUUAUAAUAACACAUAUUUGACUUUAAAAAAUAAUAUUAAAAAUGUUCCUAAUUAUAAUCCUACUUAUGGUCCUAAUUAUAGUCCUACUUAUAGUCAUAAUUACCAAAAUUCGACUAGUAUAUACAAUAAUAGUGAUAGUAACAGCAAUAAUGACAAUAAUAAUAACACUAAUAACGACACUAAUAACGACACUAAUAAUGACACUACUAAUGACACUACUAAUGACACUACUAAUGACACUACUAACGACACUACUAAUGACAUUAAUAAUAGUAAUAACUUAGUUAUGUCUACAUAUAAUAUGACAUCACCUGACAUGUUUAUAAACACAUUUAAUAAUUUCACUCUAUAUAAUAUAUACGAUCCAUCAAAUAAUUUAUUUUUGUUUGAAAACAUGAAAUUAAAUGACGGCUUAAUAAACCAAGAUAUACCUCAAAACUUUAUAAUAAUAAAUAAUAAUGGAAUACAAAAUAUCAUUUAUCAAACGCAAAAUAUUAACAGUGACAAUAGUUAUAUUAUAUAUCCGAUUGGUUACAUUAAUACAAAUAUGAAUGAACAAUAUGCCAAGAAUGGUUUAUCAGCUGGUAUGUACAUAAAUGUAAAUAAAGCAGUUGAUGGUGUAGACACACAAAAUAGUAUCUACAUGGAUGUGAAUAAACAACAUAUCGAUACAAAUACGAACUUACAUACGAACUUACACACGAACCAACACACGAACCAACACACGAACCAACANNNNNNNNNNACGAACUUACACACGAACCAACACACGAACCAACACACGAACCAACACACGAACCAACACACGAACCCACAAGCUAUAAAUUAUGAAAACGUUUACAAUAAUACCCCAAAUGAAAGUAAUAACAACACUAAUAGUCGUAGUAAUAGUAACGAAUUAAGUGGUGACAAAUAUAAGAUAAUUAAUAACGAAGUAACAAAUGAAGGUAUAAAUACGCCUACUAACAAUAGUAAUAAUAAUGAUAUUAAAAUAAAUGAAAAUAUAAUUAUUGACAUAAAAACAAGUAAUCAAAAAAAUGAUAACAUGAGUAUAAUAAAAAAUGACGUACAGUAUAAGAAUAUAAUUAAGGGUGUACUGGAGAAACAAAAGAAUAUUAUCACUACUAAAAGUCACGAGGAUGAUGUCCAUGUUGUUAGUAACGGUAUUAGCAACGAUAUUAGUUACGACAUUAGCAACGGUAUUAGUUACGACAUUAGCAACGGUAUUAGUAACAAUAUUAGUAACAAUAUUAGUAACAAUAUUAGUAACAAUAUUAGUAACAAUAUUAGUAACAAUAUUAGUAUAAAUGGAACCGAAAAAGAUAAUAAGAGUAGCAAUAUAAAUAGUUAUAGUGUUAAUAAUAGUAAUAAUGACAGUACUGGUGUAAUUACGAAUUCAAACAACAAAGAAAAUACAAAUAACUCUAACAACACUUAUUAUAACAAUUCAAAUAAGAAUAAUAAAAAAAUAAAUAGUAACUAUGAUAGUAAUAGCAAUAGUACGACUAAUAACAGUACUAUUAAAAACAUGAGUGAAAAAAAUAUUAAUAACUUCUCAAUCACAGGUUGUAACAAUAGUAGUGAAGAUUCUCAUGUAUACCUGGAUUCACAUAAAAAUGAAUUUUAUAACAAGAAUAAUAAAAAUGACAUAAUUUGUAGUAAUAAAAAUGAAAGCAAUAAUACUUAUGACAUAACGAAAGAAGUAGAUACAGACAUAAAUAUCGAUAAAAAAAAUAACGUGGAAUCUUAUAACAUUGGUAAUAGCAUGAACAAAAAGAAGGAGCUUAAUGAUAUGACAUCAUUUGUUGCAUGCGAAGAAAAUAUAGUAUCUAAAGUGUCUGACCCAACUCAUUUAACUCCCACAGAAAAAUUAGGUUCAACAACAACUUACAAAUAUAAUAAUGUCAACAGCAGUAUAUACAAUGAAGAUAAUACAUAUGUCAAUGUAGUAGACGUCGAAACUAGGGAUGAAAAAAGUAGUUUGUUACAAAAUAAAAAAGAUGAAACGUUAAGUAAUAAAAUGGAUAGUAAGGUAAAUAGCGAACUAAUUACCGAACCAACUACCGAGCUAGCUACCAAGCUAACUAAUCAUGUGGACACCAAAACAAAUAACCAAAUUGACAACCAAAAAGAAAAUUUAAAAAACAUAUGUGAUACUAACAUAUCAUUUACUCAGACGCAGAUUAUUCCAAAAAAAAAUAAUAAUGUGAUUUUUUUAAGUAGUGAAAAGAACAUUAAUAACAAUAUGAAUAUAAUAAAUAACACAAUAUCGGAUACUAAUAUAUUUUAUGAAAAUAAUAGUAAUAGUAUCAUAACUAGUGAUAAUAGUAGUAAUAUUAAUAACAAUAAUGAUCGUAAUAAUGAUAAUACUAAUGAUAUUAUGAAUAUUUAUAAUAAUUUUAAUUCAAUAAAUGAAAUGGUUCCUUGUCCAUAUGAUAUUAGUAGAAAUAUAACAACUUUUCAUAGUUCCGAAAUAAAUGAUAAUAUAAAUAUGUAUAACUAUGAUAUUAAUAAUAAAAAAGAAAAUAUGAGUAUACCCACUGAUAUAACAAAUAUGUAUUAUUCUAAUAAUACAAUAGACCAGUUUGGUUAUUAUCAAACAUGUAGUGAUAAUAUAUGCGGUAAUAAUAUUUGGGGUAAUAAUAUAUGGAAUAAUAAUGCAUCUUAUAUUAAAGACACUAAUAAUAGUGAAUGUUAUAGUAGUUCUUAUACAAGCACUUCUUAUUGUAAUUAUUCAAACGAUUGCAGUUUUAAUAAUUUUGAUACAUUAAAUAAUGAUCUAAGUAUGAAUAAUAAUAUAGACAACAUCAACAACAAUCAUACCAUUUGUAUUACUCCUGUUGAUUGCUCCAACACACUUACAGAUAGUAUAAAUGAC
Molecule: long non-coding RNA, 5165 nt
Filed under: Piliocolobus tephrosceles (Ugandan red Colobus)
Lineage: Eukaryota; Metazoa; Chordata; Mammalia; Primates; Cercopithecidae
Description: lncRNA (ENSPTEG00000004166.1)
Source: RNAcentral